Molecule: ribosomal RNA, 730 nt
Filed under: uncultured Staphylococcus sp.
Lineage: Bacteria; Bacillati; Bacillota; Bacilli; Caryophanales; Staphylococcaceae
Description: bacterial SSU rRNA
Rfam family: Bacterial small subunit ribosomal RNA
Source: RNAcentral
AACAGACGAGGAGCUUGCUCCUUUGAUGUUAGCGGCGGACGGGUGAGUAACACGUAGGUAACCUACCUAUAAGACUGGGAUAACUUCGGGAAACCGGAGCUAAUACCGGAUAAUAUUUCGAACCGCAUGGUUCGAUAGUGAAAGAUGGCUUUGCUAUCACUUAUAGAUGGACCUGCGCCGUAUUAGCUAGUUGGUAAGGUAACGGCUUACCAAGGCAACGAUACGUAGCCGACCUGAGAGGGUGAUCGGCCACACUGGAACUGAGACACGGUCCAGACUCCUACGGGAGGCAGCAGUAGGGAAUCUUCCGCAAUGGGCGAAAGCCUGACGGAGCAACGCCGCGUGAGUGAUGAAGGUCUUCGGAUCGUAAAACUCUGUUAUUAGGGAAGAACAAACGUGUAAGUAACUGUGCACGUCUUGACGGUACCUAAUCAGAAAGCCACGGCUAACUACGUGCCAGCAGCCGCGGUAAUACGUAGGUGGCAAGCGUUAUCCGGAAUUAUUGGGCGUAAAGCGCGCGUAGGCGGUUUUUUAAGUCUGAUGUGAAAGCCCACGGCUCAACCGUGGAGGGUCAUUGGAAACUGGAAAACUUGAGUGCAGAAGAGGAAAGUGGAAUUCCAUGUGUAGCGGUGAAAUGCGCAGAGAUAUGGAGGAACACCAGUGGCGAAGGCGACUUUCUGGUCUGUAACUGACGCUGAUGUGCGAAAGCGUGGGGAUCAAACAGGAUUAG